AAAAGAAAAGUAAAGUCACCAUUUCACUGAGAAAAUAAGAUAGGGCUAAGUAUAGUAGUGUAGGCUUCUUCCCAGCACCGGGAGACAAGGCAGGCCGAUCAUAGUGAGACCCCGUCCAAAAAUCAAAUCAAAUGGUUAAAUGGCCGGGUGGUUAAGGGCACCUGGUGUUCUUGCAGAAGACCUGAAUUUGGUUCCCAGCAUAUGCGUGGCUGCUCACAACUGCCAGGAACUCCAGCUCCUGGAGACACCCUUCUCUAGUCUCCACACCCUCAUUCAGACACAUGGAUAAAAAUAUUUAAAUAAUAAUAAAGAUGAGUGCUUCACUGUGCUGCCCAGGCUGGCCCUGAACUCUUGCUCCAGUUCCCGCAAUAGCUGGGACUACCAGGAAUGCCAUGGCGCCUGGGCCAGGGCGACCCUUUCAGAUGUCCAUGCUACUUCCCCUCCAGAGGACAGCUCUGUGGAGAUGAGUCUCCCACGCCACCUCCUCUUGUGCUGGACAGUUGUGUGUCAGCUUGACACAGGCUAGAUUCUCACUUGACUGUUGAGACUCUCUAAUGAGAAAAUGCGCCCAUAAGAUUGGGCUAUAGCAAGCCUAUAGGGCAUUUUCCUAACGAUUGAUGGAGGAGGGCCCAGUUCAUUGUGGGUGGUGCCAUCCCUGGGCUGGUGGUCUUGUGCUCUAGGAGAGAGCAGGCUGAGCAGCCAUGGGGAGCAAGCCAGUAAGCAGCACCCCUCCAUGGUCUCCGCAUCAGCUCCUGCCUCCAGGUUUCUGCCUUGCUUGAGUUCCUGUCCUGACUUCCUUCAAGGAUGAACAGUGAUGUGAAGGGUAAGCCAAAGAAACCCUUUCCUCCCCAACUUGCUUUGGUCAUGGUGUUUUGUUGCAGAACAGAAGCCCUAACUAGCCGGGCGAUGGUGGCUCACACCUUUAAUCCCAGCACUCGGGAGGCAGAGGCAGGCGGAUCUCUGUGAGUUCGAGACCAGCCUGGUCUACAGAGCUAGUUCCAGGACAGGCUACAAAGCCACAGAGAAACCCUGUCUCGAAAAACCAAAAGAAGAAGCCCUAACUAAGACACGCCCUCGUGUGGGUUCUGGGAAUUGAACUCAGGUAGGUCACGAACUUUUCAGGUAAGCACUGUUACCCACUGAGCCUCUAAAUGACCUACGCUAUUUUUUAAAUUAAAAAUAACAUUUAAAUGUAUUAUGGGGGGAGGUCAGAGGUCUACUUUGUGAAAUCGGUCCUCCUCUUCUACUUUUCCAUGUGUUCCUGAGGUCAAACUCAGGUUGCCAGGCUUGCGCAGCAACACCUUCACCACCGGGCCAGCUCCUCGGGAGAGGCUUUCAGAGCCCAGGGCCACCCUCACGAAACCACCGCACAGGAUGCCCAGAGAAGUCUCUGUCUUCAGAUCUCAUCCCCACUUGGUCCUGCUGGGUGCGUCUGUGCUAAAUGUGUAACAGCAGAGACAGCGCAGUGUGACAGCCGCAAGCUAAGGAAGAAGAAAGCCCUGAACCCCUUCAGCCACCAAAGGGAAGCCCCCUGGAGUACUUCUCCUUCUGGGACGAAUGGAGCCUAGGUUUUGCGUGGACGGCUACAGUCACCAACCUGCUCGUCUCAGGUCUGCAGUUCCGGCACGUGGACUGACAGACAAGGUCCCUCUGGUGCGCCACCAUCUUGGGUUUAUCCUGAGGUCAGUUCUACUUUACCUCUCACCCCGAGGGUCCUCACCUCAAGCUCCCAGUACAGAGAUGGAAAACAACUCCCCCUGGCCGCCCCACCCAGGGAAACGUGUACUUCCUGAGUACAGACCAAAGUCGCCUUGUGGCGUGAGAGGUACUGACUCCUGAGGGCUCUUCAGCUGUUUGCUUAGCCUCUGAAGUGCACUGAGAACCCAGUCUCAGGAGUGCAGAGGCUUGGCUUGUCACCCCUUCCAGCUCCAGUUCGUGGCAAAGGCCACCUGGUGAGCCAGGGAGGCUGCCAGAGCGAAUGUGAGUGCUCCCGCCAUGUUCCGGAGCUGGCUGGAGGAGGAAGGGGCCGUGGGGCCUUUUCCACUCUUUGGGGAUGAAGAAUUCUCUCUGAUGGCUCGGGUAGCAGGCAAUGCCGUCAGCUGGGACUAUCGACCCAGGACUUUUACUCCAGCAAUACUGCAUUCCUCCCGCCUGCUCCCCAGGGCUGUCUCCUCAACCUUCGACCCACGUGGGGACACACAGGUGUGAGCACAGACACACACAGGGCUCUAGAUGAGGGAUCCCCAUCCCGGCUGCAGCCUUUACGCCUCAUUCUGAUGGCCAGUUACAGCAAGAUCCCUGCUUUGUGUCUAAUUAUGGUGGGCAUUAACACCAAGCACACCUUGCAGGGUAGGUGGGAAGACACACAACCCAGAAGACAGAAAUUAUGUUCUCAAAUGUCACUGGCCUCAUGACCUGCACAACUCCCAGACUAGGGAUUUAGUUAUCAAAUAAAUCAAAAUCAAAUUAAA
Alexandromys fortis (reed vole) is the source of this 2471-nucleotide long non-coding RNA. RefSeq lists it as uncharacterized. The record is from RefSeq and is a predicted model, not a curated record. The transcript is spliced from 2 exons. Lineage: Eukaryota; Metazoa; Chordata; Mammalia; Rodentia; Cricetidae.